CAAUCAAUCGAACAUUAUUGUCACGAUUAAUUUCUGUCUAGCAGACAUAUUAUUAUUCGUUCAAUAAUAUUGUCAAAUUAGUAAAUUGAACCUCAACUGUUACUAAUUAAAUAUCUCUUUAUAAAAUGUUAAGCAAACUUGCAACUUGCAAGCAAACACCCCCAAAUAUUGUAAAAAUUGCAGAAAGUUACUAUGAAGUACUUGUUACUAACAAAACAUCGUCAAAAAUGGGAAGUUGCUCAUUUGACGUUUUUUUGGAGAAUGUAUUGCUUCCUAAAAUUAUCAGUAAGAUGAAAGACCUUCUUACAACUACAACUUAAACUAAAUUACUAGAACCCUACUGAAAAGAAAGUCUGAUGGUAUUAAAAGCAAGAAGUCCAUGAUUUAGUCUGUAAACAACAUUACUAUUAACUAAAUAACUAAAUAAAAUAGGACGUAGUAUCAUUUCUGCUAAGAUCAUCAUAACUUAAAUAUAAAUACACAGAAAAGAAUGGUUCAGUCCAUAAGAUGAACAUGUUAUUAGUGAUAACCAACAACCUUGGCGCAGUCAGUAGCAUGUCCUUUGGAGUGUAGUUUUGGUGUCUCGAAAUCCAAAAAAUUCUGGGUGUAGCGAACAAUUGCCAAUUCAACAGCCAGAGAAGUAUUCAGGAACCUCGACCAAAGAGCAAAACUGUCAAAAACUAUCCCUAACAAUUGCUUCAAAGAACUGAUCAAAAUAUGCUUUUAUGCAACGAAUCGGACAUCAAGACUCACUCAACAGAACUACGUAAACAACUGCAGCAAACUUCAGCAUUUUAAUCAACGAAUUAUACUCAGUUCACUAGAGGAAUGUUCCAUAAAAUAAAUUGAAUGAAAAGCAUUAAAUAAUUCUCAAUAAAUCACUAUGUCCUUGAUUUAAUACAAAAAUAAAUAAUUAAACAAG
Dendroctonus ponderosae (mountain pine beetle) is the source of this 922-nucleotide long non-coding RNA. RefSeq lists it as uncharacterized. NCBI's taxonomy places the organism in Eukaryota, Metazoa, Arthropoda, Insecta, Coleoptera, Curculionidae. The transcript has 2 exons. The record is from RefSeq and is a predicted model, not a curated record.